AGGCCAAGGCUUUUGAAAAGCGGGUCGUGGCCCAGUGAUCAAUGAAGAACUCAGGGACAUCCCAAAACUCAGGACUAUAAGGCACAAUGCGGGAGCAGGUACCAGGUGGCCAGCAUCCUAAAUGACUCUCAGCAGCUGCAGAGAAUGUAAAUAACAAGGGCUGCCAAUAAAUCUACCUCAGAGGACAAAGGAAAAACCAGAACUCUGCCAGGGAGACUUUACUUUACUAACCAGGUGACCAAAUUUCUAAAACAUCAUUCCCGUAAUCCCUGAUCAACAGAAAGGAAGCUCUGGAAGCAUGAAUGCUCAACCAUAUUUAUCAGCCUUCCUGUGGUCAUUUAUCUAAGCUCCAGCUAGUGAAGUGUGAGUAGAACAGACAUGCACCACUUACAGGCCUGGCACCUGCAAAGCCCCCACGGCAACCCUCCAACCCUUUGCUCAGCAACUGUACUGUGCUGGAAAGAACUGAGGAUCUAGAGGAGGACAGGGCUGUAAUAUGGAAGGAGCUUGGUUUCUGAAGGACUAAUGUAGCAGGCCACCUGCAGAGCGGGAACAUCUUUAAUAGGUUUGGAAUAGCAAGAAAUAAACUGGUCUUGUGUUAAA
Long non-coding RNA from Rhinopithecus roxellana (golden snub-nosed monkey), 603 nucleotides. RefSeq lists it as uncharacterized. NCBI's taxonomy places the organism in Eukaryota, Metazoa, Chordata, Mammalia, Primates, Cercopithecidae. The transcript is spliced from 4 exons. The record is from RefSeq and is a predicted model, not a curated record.